This 546-nucleotide ribosomal RNA is filed under the name Escherichia coli. Its description in RNAcentral is "bacterial SSU rRNA". It matches the Rfam family "Bacterial small subunit ribosomal RNA", at positions 999 to 1533 of the family's 1533-position model. Lineage: Bacteria; Pseudomonadati; Pseudomonadota; Gammaproteobacteria; Enterobacterales; Enterobacteriaceae. RNAcentral also lists the same sequence under 1 other name. The record is from RNAcentral.
UUCAGAGAUGAGAAUGUGCCUUCGGGAACCGUGAGACAGGUGCUGCAUGGCUGUCGUCAGCUCGUGUUGUGAAAUGUUGGGUUAAGUCCCGCAACGAGCGCAACCCUUAUCCUUUGUUGCCAGCGGUCCGGCCGGGAACUCAAAGGAGACUGCCAGUGAUAAACUGGAGGAAGGUGGGGAUGACGUCAAGUCAUCAUGGCCCUUACGACCAGGGCUACACACGUGCUACAAUGGCGCAUACAAAGAGAAGCGACCUCGCGAGAGCAAGCGGACCUCAUAAAGUGCGUCGUAGUCCGGAUUGGAGUCUGCAACUCGACUCCAUGAAGUCGGAAUCGCUAGUAAUCGUGGAUCAGAAUGCCACGGUGAAUACGUUCCCGGGCCUUGUACACACCGCCCGUCACACCAUGGGAGUGGGUUGCAAAAGAAGUAGGUAGCUUAACCUUCGGGAGGGCGCUUACCACUUUGUGAUUCAUGACUGGGGUGAAGUCGUAACAAGGUAACCGUAGGGGAACCUGCGGUUGGAUCACCUCCUUACCUUAAAGAAGC